RNAcentral lists this long non-coding RNA (3633 nucleotides) under Pan troglodytes (chimpanzee). RNAcentral's name for it is "lincRNA". Lineage: Eukaryota; Metazoa; Chordata; Mammalia; Primates; Hominidae. The record is from RNAcentral.
AGCGGCACACAGGGCGCGCCGCGCUCGCUCGGCACGGGCAGCUCAGCCGGCCUCACGCCGCCGUCCGCAACAGCAGCCGCGGGCGGGGUGCAGCCACCUCCGUGAGCGCCGCAGCCCGCCCCGCUCGGGGCGGGGCCCGCGGGCACCGAAGAGCGGACGGCCGAGCACGAGGGGGCUGCGCGCAGCUCCGGGCAGGGACCCCGUCUGCACCGGGUGGCCUGCAAGAUUGCCGGGGUAGGCAGGGGGAGGAGAACGCUCACCCGUUCCGGUCUGGCGCUCCCUUCUCUCCACACCCACACGCCUCCCGCUCCACGCUGGCGGCGCAGCUGCUCCCGCUGCCACAGCCGCCACCGCCGCCGAAGCUCGCGCCGCCGCCGCCGCCUUGGCUGAGCGCGGUCACGUGACGCGAUCCGCGGGGAGCCUGGGGGCGGGCGAGUGCGCGCGCGCGCGCGCGGAGGAACCGCGGCUCGGACCGGGACUGGGAGCUGAGCGGCACUGGGAGGGCGUUUAAGGGGAGGACCCGGCGAGCGCGCCCUCGGCUGGCGAGCGCGCGCCUGGCGAUUAGAACUUGCCGCGCGGUCGGGAAAGGGUGGCCGGAGUGAGGGGCGGAGGUGGGGACUUGCGCCUCCGCACGCCCCUCCCUUUCUUCCUUCCCCUGAGCGCCUUGGCUUGCCGCUGCCCCCGCCCCCCCCAGCGCGCCCCUUCCCUCCUGCCGCAGCCUGCGAUUGGCUGAGAGACUCUGACGUCCGUGUUUCCAUGACGUGUUGGUGCAGGAGGGAGCGGCGGGGGAGGAGGGGGUGGCUCAGGCGCGCGGGGAGGUGACUCCGUCAGUCACAGCUGCUGUUUCGGCGCGGGGCCGGGCCGCUGCCGCGACGUGUGGAGGCAGGAGAGCGAUGAUUGCCGCAGGAGAAGUGCGGGCGCCCUUCACCUGGGGCCCCUCCCGAACCGCCCCCGGGCCCAUGCCCCUCCAGGGCCCAGGAGCGAGCCAGCGGGAGGGCGAGGGCGAGCGCUCCUGGCGAGGACAGAUUAAGGCGAACCCCCAGUCAGCGGACAUUUGAGCGGCUCCUCGCCGCGUCUCUGCCCCCACUCCAAACCGGACUCGACGCCUGUCCCGGGCCGUGACGCACGCACCGGAGGACAAAAGUGCUUCUCGGCUCGCUCCCUCUUUGGGGAAGAGAGCUCACUCCCCAUGCGGGCGCGGGACACCCCAUCUCUGUUCCUGCCGGUCGGGUCCGCAAACACCGGGGAUCCCAGCUGCGGCGCCCAAAGGGUUAACGCAGGCGUUCGGCCAGUGCAAACCGGCCUCGCAUGAUCCGCGCUUAAAAUCCGGGUGUUUUCAUUUUGGGUUUGUUUCUUCUACUAUGCCAAGCUGGUAGCUCUCUUUUAAUUCUCUUGUAACAUCUCAACCCUGCACCCAUCUUUCCUGAGGGGAAAAGGAAACGGGAUAACUUGCGGUAUUUCGAUGCUCAAAGGUAACCGGCGGCUCUGCUCCAACCUUCAAGAGAUUUUGCAAGUUGAAAAAAAAAAAACCAUCCUUCGUAACAUCUACUUAAAAAAAAAAAAGCAAGUUUUCCUUCUUGUACACGCAUAUACACAGUAAAGAUGUGUAUCUUACCUAAGAUACCGCGCUUCAUCUUCAUCUAAUCUUUAUUUGAACUCACCGUCGCCACUGGCCCAGAGACCUUGUCAGUGUUAUUUUCAGUAUCAGUUAAUCAGAACAAAAAGAUAAGUUCUGCAAUCUUCUUUCUCUUAAUUCCAGAACUGGAAAAUUAAUAUUUAUAUAGCCUCCUCAAAAGCAUACAGGCAAUAGGAAGUAUGGUAUUAUGUUCACGAUCUGAUGAUAGCAUUUGUUUUAAAAUAUUUUAAAAGAUUAGACACAGAAUGUGUAAAAGACGUUUAAAAGUGAAUAAAUAUAAAUCAAUGCUGUUGCAAAUAAUUUUUUUAUCAGUUUAUGUAUCUCACUAGGCUUGACGUUACCAGCCUUCUGAGCUGUGCCCUUGAUGUGUAAGAUAAACGAACAUUGAACAGAAUGAUAGCAUUUUUCCUCUCUUCAGUCACUGAUGGAGAAUUGGUUAAUGUGGUACAAUAAAUAGCCCUUCCAGACACUAUUUCAAAUCUUUUUAACAGAAGAAUAACCUAAAUUUCACCUAAUAAAUUUCAAUAUUAUUUCCCCCUAAAAUAUUUUUCAAAACGACUCAGAGACAUUUAAGAAUCACUGGCUGUUUUCCAACUUUUCCUCCAAGGAAGUUACAAUACAAUGUUGAAUUAUGUAUUCUACUUUAAUCAAGAAUUUGACAUUAAAGUAAUAUGUGAAUCAUUGCUAUAGUACACUAGCAAAAUGGGUAAUAGAUUAAACUAGAAUCUGUUCACUUUGUGGGUUUGUUCCAGUUCCAGAUUAUAAAAUGAAUGCUCUUAAAGUGUUGUGGUCAUGAAACAAUUAUUGAGCAUCUUUAUUUAAGAACACGAUUCAAUUAAAUUUUCAUUUAUAUCGAUAAAUCUAUAAGUGAAACAUAUGGAAUAUAUAUAUUCAUGUAUAUCCAUAAAUGAAAACGUGUGUGUGUGUGUAUCCCGGAACAUAUUUGUAUGCAUUUUAAUGAAAUGUGAGUCAUAUGCAAUGACAAACUUUUACUGUCAUAGUCAAGAAAAUUGUACUGUAGUUUGGUUAUUAUAUUUUUAUUCUUCAAAUAGGAAAUAAAGGGUGAAAGCAAUAUAGAAAUAACUGUUCACAUUACAUUAAGAAAUUCAAUUUUUUUCUCCCACAGGCUUAGUACUAAAGCAUCCCUCACACAUAUUUUUCAAUGUAAAAAUCAAGAAAAUAUUGCAUUGCUUACUGUUUCCUUGAAAAAAAAUUGAACUAUCUGAAAUCAAAGAUGCCACUGUAUGUAACAGUAUUCUCUUAAUCUUAGACCUAACUUAUCCCAUGUGUUUAACUGAUCUACAGAUGUAUCUUUGCAUAAGGAACAAUAUAAUAAUAUAAUUUACUGGGGAAAUAAUAUUUUAAAGUUCUUUUAAUAUGCAUUUUAGCUACAAUGCAAAACUUAUAAAAGUAUUUAAAUCCAGUCAGGUGCGGUGGCUCACGUCUGUAAUCCCAGCACUUCAGGAGACUGAGGCGGGCAGAUCACGAGGUCCGGAGAUUGAGACCAUCCUGGCCAACAUGGUGAAACCCCGUCUCUACUAAAAAUACAAAAAUUAGCUGGGCGUGGUGGCUCAUGCCUGUAAUCCCAGCUACUCAGGAGGCUGAGGCAGGAGAAUCGCUUGAACCAGGGAGUCCAAGGUUGCAGGGAGCCGAGAUCGCACCACUGCACUCCAGCCUGGCGACAGAGUGAGUCUCAGUCUCAAAAACAAAACGAAACAAAACAAAACAAAAAAGUAUUUAAACCCCAUGACAAGUUACUAUAUGAGAUGUUAACAUUGAAGAGUGGCUGCAGAUUCAAAAUAAUAUAUUUGGUAUUUUUAAGGUAUGCUCUUUUUCGUAGAGUAAAUCUAAACAACUGAGAUAUUUGCUGAAAAGUUGAUCGAUUCAAGAGAUAUAACACAUGAAGACAGUUUUCUAAAAUCCUCAAUGUAAUUAAGUGUAAAGAGAAACAAAGAACUUUAUUCUGUCACAUGCAUGUAGCAAUAGGACAAAAUAAA